GUGUGCUAACCAAACGUUAUACGGUCCUAAGCACAGUUAAGGCUGCCCGCGAGUAACUGCCGGUGAAUGGAGGCUGCGCAUGCUCAGUGUGAACCUCGGCAGUGGCCAGGCGCCGGCAGUUACGGGCUGUAGUCAGUACCUGGCUUGCCGUUACCGCGACCACUACCGCCACCGGCACCGAUAUCACGGAAGCACCUUGGCCGAUACCCCCCUGCCCCCUCCGCCUUCGUCCACCGUGGAGGGGAAAGUGCGGCCGUGAGCGCGCGCACGCGAGCACACACUGAAUAUCAGCUCAGAGGGUUUCCUUGUGUUGGAUGAAUGGCAAUGAUGCAGCCUGAUGAACACAGGAGUAGAAAGAUGAUGGUGCCUGAAGAAUAUGGGAUAUAUUGGCUGUAUGUAGCAACAAGAAUAAAAGGACUACUAAGACAACAACAACAGGCUGGAAGACUUGGAAGGACUGCAUCAAUGAAGAGGAAGAAAGGAUUAAAAUAGAAGAAAUAUGGAGAGGGGGCAAGGUGAAAAAACAGGCUUGAUAAGGUCUGCAUCAAAGAAGCACAAGAAAGAAAAGUGGAGGGCUUAUGAAGAGAGGGGGGGCCAGGUGAACAGGCUUGGAAAUUAUUUGCAUCAAAAAGCAAGAAAGAUGAGAAAGACUGUGUGUGAAAAACAUGUAGUUGUUUGUUGUGAUGCAUGGAUGGAUGGGGGAUCUCAGUUGGGAGUAAAAAUACACACACAUACACAGUGGGCACAGUCAGUAUGUGUGUGCACAAAACGAACUAGUGUGUGUGUGUGUGCACAAAACAAACUACUGAAUAAAAUAAAUUCAAUAUU
Scylla paramamosain (green mud crab) is the source of this 828-nucleotide long non-coding RNA. RefSeq lists it as uncharacterized. Lineage: Eukaryota; Metazoa; Arthropoda; Malacostraca; Decapoda; Portunidae. The transcript is spliced from 4 exons. The record is from RefSeq and is a predicted model, not a curated record.